Molecule: ribosomal RNA, 468 nt
Filed under: uncultured bacterium
Lineage: Bacteria
Description: partial 16S ribosomal RNA
Rfam family: Bacterial small subunit ribosomal RNA
Source: RNAcentral
GACGAACGCUGGCGGCGUGCUUAACACAUGCAAGUCGAACGGAAAGGCCCUGCUUUUGUGGGGUGCUCGAGUGGCGAACGGGUGAGUAACACGUGAGUAACCUGCCCUUGACUUUGGGAUAACUUCAGGAAACUGGGGCUAAUACCGGAUAGGAGCUCCUGCUGCAUGGUGGGGGUUGGAAAGUUUCGGCGGUUGGGGAUGGACUCGCGGCUUAUCAGCUUGUUGGUGGGGUAGUGGCUUACCAAGGCUUUGACGGGUAGCCGGCCUGAGAGGGUGACCGGCCCCAUUGGGACUGAGAUACGGCCCAGACUCCUCCGGGAGGAAGCAGUGGGGAAUAUUGCAAAAUGGGCGGAAGCCUGAUGCAGCAACGCCGCGUGCGGGAUGACGGCCUUCGGGUUGUAAACCGCUUUCGCCUGUGACGAAGCGUGAGUGACGGUAAUGGGUAAAGAAGCACCGGCUAACUACGUG